CCAGCUAGAUAGGAAGGAUGUUGAGGCCCUUCCAACUCUGAUUUUGUGAAACAACAAUUUCUUUUCUAAAAUUUUAUUUAAUUUUUUCCAAUGAACAAAACUUUAUUUUCUCUUCCUCCCAUCUUCCCCUUCAAUUGAAAAAAGAAAAGCAAAAAAAAAAUCCUUUGAACAAAUAUGUAUACUCAUAUAUGUAUAUAUAUAUAUAUAUACAUAUAUAUAUAUAUUCAAGCAUAACAAAUUCCUUCAUUGGUUGCUGUACAAAAAUAUAGGUUUCAUUCUGCAUCCUGAGCCCCUCCUCUUUUGAAAUAAUUAUUUUCCAAUAAUAAAUAUUUAUAUUUAUAAAAUUUAUAAUAUCUCCCCCAAACAAAUAUUUAUGUUUCUAAUAAUAUUAUUUACCAAUAAAUAAUUUCCUGAAUUUAUUUAUUUUGCAGUUCUAAAGAAGGGUAGUGAAAACAACACUGGGGCUGAACUCAAUAGCAUCUGGAUUCAAAUCCCAGCUCUGCAGAUCCUUGGUCAAGUCUCUUCAGUUCCUAGUUUGCUCACCUGUAAAACAAAUAGAUUGCCAUUAAAGUUCCUUUUAGGAGGAGAUCCUGGGUACAGAUUUGCUCUCAAACAUGGCCUGCCUGUGUGACCCUGGGCAAGUCACUUAACCUUCAUUACCUAGCCCUUACUGCUCUUCUGCCUUGGAACCAAAACAUAGUAUUGCUUCUAAGAUGGAAGGAACACAUGAAACCAGGCUGGGAUAAAGGCCUUCCUUGCUGCAGAUUUAUUCAAGUGAACAAUCCACACACAGAUCACUGGAAA
Molecule: long non-coding RNA, 804 nt
Filed under: Monodelphis domestica (gray short-tailed opossum)
Lineage: Eukaryota; Metazoa; Chordata; Mammalia; Didelphimorphia; Didelphidae
Description: lncRNA (ENSMODG00000037749.1)
Source: RNAcentral